GGAGGCAGGCUGUAGUUCACUGGUAGAGCAUCUGCUUUGCAUGCAGAAGGUCUCAGGUUCAAUCUCCAGUGGUAUCUCCA
Podarcis lilfordi (Lilford's wall lizard) is the source of this 80-nucleotide non-coding RNA. The record is from the annotation of a GenBank genome assembly. Lineage: Eukaryota; Metazoa; Chordata; Lepidosauria; Squamata; Lacertidae.